Non-coding RNA from Acanthosepion pharaonis, 115 nucleotides. The record is from the annotation of a GenBank genome assembly. NCBI's taxonomy places the organism in Eukaryota, Metazoa, Mollusca, Cephalopoda, Sepiida, Sepiidae.
UUACGACCAUAUCAGGUUCAAACGCCGGUUCCCGUACGAUCCCCAAAGUUAAGCAAACGCCGACCCUGCACAGUGCCUAGAUGGGUGACCGUGUGAAAAUGCAAGGUGCUGUAAG